Molecule: ribosomal RNA, 253 nt
Filed under: uncultured bacterium
Lineage: Bacteria
Description: partial 16S ribosomal RNA
Rfam family: Bacterial small subunit ribosomal RNA
Source: RNAcentral
UACGGGGGGGGCAAGCGUUGUUCGGAAUUACUGGGCGUAAAGGGCUCGUAGGCGGCCAACUAAGUCGGACGUGAAAUCCCUCGGCUUAACCGGGGAACUGCGUCCGAUACUGGAUGGCUUGAGUUUGGGAGAGGGAUGCGGAAUUCCAGGUGUAGCGGUGAAAUGCGUAGAUAUCUGGAGGAACACCGGUGGCGAAGGCGGCAUCCUGGACCAACACUGACGCUGAUGAGCGAAAGCGUGGGGAGCAAACAGG